GUAAUGUCUGGGAAACUGCCUGAUGGAGGGGGAUAACUACUGGAAACGGUGGCUAAUACCGCAUAACGUCGCAAGACCAAAGAGGGGGACCUUCGGGCCUCUUGCCAUCAGAUGUGCCCAGAUGGGAUUAGCUUGUUGGUGAGGUAACGGCUCACCAAGGCGACGAUCCCUAGCUGGUCUGAGAGGAUGACCAGCCACACUGGAACUGAGACACGGUCCAGACUCCUACGGGAGGCAGCAGUGGGGAAUAUUGCACAAUGGGCGCAAGCCUGAUGCAGCCAUGCCGCGUGUAUGAAGAAGGCCUUCGGGUUGUAAAGUACUUUCAGCGGGGAG
RNAcentral lists this ribosomal RNA (333 nucleotides) under Salmonella enterica subsp. enterica. RNAcentral's name for it is "bacterial SSU rRNA". It matches the Rfam family "Bacterial small subunit ribosomal RNA", at positions 110 to 446 of the family's 1533-position model. RNAcentral also lists the same sequence under 1 other name. Lineage: Bacteria; Pseudomonadati; Pseudomonadota; Gammaproteobacteria; Enterobacterales; Enterobacteriaceae. The record is from RNAcentral.